RNAcentral lists this long non-coding RNA (322 nucleotides) under Rattus norvegicus (Norway rat). RNAcentral describes it as "long non-coding RNA NONRATT016208". Lineage: Eukaryota; Metazoa; Chordata; Mammalia; Rodentia; Muridae. The record is from RNAcentral.
CAAACUGGUACAACCAUUCUGGAAAUCAGUCUGGAGGAUCCUCAGAAAAUUGGACAUUGAACUGCCUGAGGAUCCAGCUAUACCUCUCUUGGGCAUAUACCCAAAAGAUGCCCCAACAUAUAAAAAAGACACGUGCUCCACUAUGUUCAUUGCAGCCUUAUUUAUAAUAGCCAGAAGCUGGAAAGUACCCAGAUGCCCUUCAACAGAGGAAUGGAUACAGAAAAUGUGGUACAUCUACACAAUGGAAUAUUACUCAGCUAUCAAAAACAACGACUUUAUGAAAUUCGUAGGCAAAUGGCUGGAACUGGAAAAUAUCAUCCUG